This is a long non-coding RNA of Cyprinus carpio (common carp), 721 nucleotides long. RefSeq lists it as uncharacterized. NCBI's taxonomy places the organism in Eukaryota, Metazoa, Chordata, Actinopteri, Cypriniformes, Cyprinidae. The transcript has 6 exons. The record is from RefSeq and is a predicted model, not a curated record.
GGGCUGCGUGGUACGAAGGACCUAUUCAGUGUCAGGUCCUAGGUCAAUAAUGCACAUUGACACCAACCAUAAAUUGAUUCGCUACAAUAUAGUCGUCUUCGGGGGUGUGGAUGGCUUUUCCCGCAAGAUAAUGUACCUUGGAGCUGCAUCUAAUAACCUUGCUACAGCCACCUUGGAUUUUUUUCAAGAAGCAGUGGAGACAUUUGGCUUCCCUCUCAGGGUAUGAGGAGAUCAGGGUGUCGAAAAUGUGGACGUGGCUCGCCUGAUGUUCACAGUUCAUGGGACAGAAAGGGGAAGCUUUAUUUCAGGAAAGAGCGUCCACAAUCAGCGUAUAGAGAGGUUGUGGAGAGACGUCUGGUCAUCAGUGACAAAUGUCUACUACGAUGUUCUACAUGCUUUGGAAGAAGGUGGCCACCUUGAUAUUUCUGACCUUACUCAUCUGUUCUGUUGCCACUAUGUAUUUCUCCCAUGGCUUCAAUAUGAUCUCAACCUUUUCCGAAACACCUGGGACAAUCACCCAAUACGCACAGAGGGUAAUAUGACUCCUAACCAGCUGUGGGUGAUGGGAAGUGUCCGCAACGCUGUACCUGAGCCUGAUAUAGAGGGAUUAAGCAUACCACAAAUAGACUGGGAGAGUAGUGGACUGGUGUUGAUGCACAUUCCAGUAUUGUUGUGCCUCAAACCGAAUGUCCCCUGACUGAUGACCAAAUGGAAGCACUCA